This 336-nucleotide ribosomal RNA is filed under the name uncultured Bacillota bacterium. Its description in RNAcentral is "bacterial SSU rRNA". It matches the Rfam family "Bacterial small subunit ribosomal RNA", at positions 28 to 351 of the family's 1533-position model. Lineage: Bacteria; Bacillati; Bacillota. The record is from RNAcentral.
GACGAACGCUGGCGGCGUGCCUAACACAUGCAAGUCGAACGGAGUAAGUAGCAAUACUUACUUAGUGGCGAACGGGUGAGUAACGCGUAGACAACCUGCCUCUAAAUUGGGGACAACACCGCGAAAGUGGUGCUAAUACCGAAUGUGGUAUCUUGGUUGCAUAACCAAGAUAAGAAAGAUGGCCUCUACAUGUAAGCUAUCGUUUAGAGAUGGGUCUGCGUCUGAUUAGCUAGUUGGUGAGGUAACGGCUCACCAAGGCGACGAUCAGUAGCCGGUCUGAGAGGAUGAACGGCCACACUGGGACUGAGACACGGCCCAGACUCCUACGGGAGGCUG